Molecule: ribosomal RNA, 834 nt
Filed under: uncultured Chloroflexota bacterium
Lineage: Bacteria; Bacillati; Chloroflexota
Description: bacterial SSU rRNA
Rfam family: Bacterial small subunit ribosomal RNA
Source: RNAcentral
AGAGUUUGAUUAUGGCUCAGGAUGAACGCUGGCGGCGUGCCUAAUACAUGCAAGUCGAACGAGGAGCCCUGACACGAGUAUUCGUACGAGUAGAUGGGAUUUCCUAGUGGCGAACGGGUGAGUAACGCGUUGGUGACCUGCCUCGAAGUGUGGAAUAACUCCGGGAAACUGGAGCUAAUACCUCAUAUGGUCAGUGGAUUUAGAAACCACUGUCUAAAGGUCUUCGGAUCGCUUCGAGAGGGGCCUGCGUCCCAUCAGCUAGUUGGUAGGGUAAUGGCCUACCAAGGCGACGACGGGUAGGGGACCUGAGAGGGUGAUCCCCCACAAUGGAACUGAAACACGGUCCAUACACCUACGGGUGGCAGCAGUAGGGAAUAUUGCACAAUGGGCGAAAGCCUGAUGCAGCAACGCCGCGUGUGCGAUGAAGGCCUUCGGGUCGUAAAGCACUUUUCUGAGGGAAGAGGAAGGACGGUACCUCAGGAAUAAGUCUCGGCUAACUACGUGCCAGCAGCCGCGGUAACACGUAGGAGGCAAGCGUUAUCCGGAUUUACUGGGCGUAAAGCGCGUGCAGGCGGUUUGGUAAGUUGGAUGUGAAAGCUCCCGGCUCAACUGGGAGAGGCCGUUCAAUACUGCCAGACUAGAGGACGGUAGAGGAAGGUAGAAUUCCUGGUGUAGUGGUGAAAUGCGUAGAUAUCAGGAGGAAUACCAGUGGCGAAAGCGGCCUUCUGGGCCGUUCCUGACGCUAAGACGCGAAAGCAUGGGUAGCAAACGGGAUUAGAAACCCCGGUAGUCCAUGCCGUAAACGAUGCAAACUAGGUGUUGGUGGUGUAAAAG